UUAUAAUAUGUCUGAGGAAAAUGUUGAAAUUCCCAAUGGCCUCAUCUAUUUCCUCUGUCAUUACGUCUUUGCAUUUACUGCAUUAUGUUACCCACUUGCUGGCUUAAUAAAUUGUUAGCCUCUGUGGCUUCUAGAUGACGACAGCAACGUUAAUAUUGCCAGCGCUUAAGAGAGUCUGAAGAGCGUCGGUAG
Molecule: long non-coding RNA, 192 nt
Organism: Sebastes umbrosus (honeycomb rockfish)
Lineage: Eukaryota; Metazoa; Chordata; Actinopteri; Perciformes; Sebastidae
Exons: 3
Source: RefSeq, a predicted model, not a curated record